GCACCUCACAACAACCCUGUUGAUUCUAUCUGUUUGAUAUGGGUUAUGCUGGUGCAACAGAGAGUCAAUGUAAAUCCAGAUGGACGUCCUCUAUUUAUGGAGUCUGUCUCUACAGCUUUGAUACACCG
Parambassis ranga (Indian glassy fish) is the source of this 128-nucleotide small nucleolar RNA. The record is from Ensembl. NCBI's taxonomy places the organism in Eukaryota, Metazoa, Chordata, Actinopteri, Ambassidae.